RNAcentral lists this ribosomal RNA (301 nucleotides) under uncultured bacterium. RNAcentral describes it as "partial 16S ribosomal RNA". It matches the Rfam family "Bacterial small subunit ribosomal RNA", at positions 509 to 807 of the family's 1533-position model. The record is from RNAcentral.
CAGUCGCCACGGGAAUACGGAGGGUGCAAGCGUUAAUCGGAAUUACUGGGCGUAAAGCGCACGCAGGCGGUUUGUUAAGUCAGAUGUGAAAUCCCCGAGCUUAACUUGGGAACUGCAUUUGAAACUGGCAAGCUAGAGUCUUGCAGAGGGGGGUAGAAUUCCAGGUGUAGCGGUGAAAUGCGUAGAGAUCUGGAGGAAUACCGGUGGCGAAGGCGGCCCCCUGGACAAAGACUGACGCUCAGGUGCGAAAGCGUGGGGAGCAAACAGGAUUAGAUACCCCUGUAGUCCCUGUCUCUUAUAC